RNAcentral lists this long non-coding RNA (1270 nucleotides) under Oryctolagus cuniculus (rabbit). RNAcentral's name for it is "lncRNA (ENSOCUG00000036934.1)". Lineage: Eukaryota; Metazoa; Chordata; Mammalia; Lagomorpha; Leporidae. The record is from RNAcentral.
AUGUGUAAAUUAAACAUCUGCGGGCUGAGGUGGACCACAUCAGUCACACCCAGCUGUGAUUACAUGCUGCUACUGGAGGUCUGGAGGAAAAAGCCAUCCAAUAAUCUUCAGUACUGGUAUGGAAUUAGCAAGGAACCUCUGCCCGUCAUAGUCACAUUGGGACCAAGUGUAGCAGAACAGCCAGGAUCUCCAAUGUCAUUAGUCACUGUGCCAGAAGGAAAGGAGCUCUGGAGAGAUUCCCAUCUGCAAUUGAAAGCAUCCUGUAAGUGACACAUGCCACCCCUGGUCUAGUUGCAAGACGCCACCCGGCCACAAGGGGGUCAGGCAGGAAAGAGGACCAGGCACAGCACACUGGAAGGGUCUGUGAGUGUGACAUUGCAACUUUCUUAUACAUACAUCCUUUCAGUUUUUAGCAAUUUCCUUCCUUAAACAAUUUUACAGGAAGAUUGUUAUAAUCUACAGUAUAAACAUAUUAGUGACACACAUGCUGCAAUUGUGUAUUUUGGCACUCAGACCCAUACUUACCCUUUUGUACUCUGCACGGGGGUGGGGGGGAUGGGGGGUGGGGGGGUGGUGGUGGCUGAGAGCCUGAAAACUACAUUUCCCAGACCCCUUUGCCUGCUGUGCUAAUAGGAAGAGGAAGGGUUAAGUCAUUCUGUUUUUUUUAAUUUAGGUUACACAAGUUUCAUAUAUUUCAUAUUUACAGAUUUAAGAACAAAGUGGGGCUUCCUCUCCCUCCCGCCCACAUUCCAACCCUCCCUCACCUUGGAUUCCCAUUCUUAAUUUUUUUUUUUUUUUUGACAGGCAGAGUGGAUAGUGAGAGAGAGAGACAGAGAGAAAGGUCCUCCGCUGAUCCAAAGCCAGGAGCCAGAUGCUUCUCCUGGUCUCCCAUGCGGGUGCAGGGCCCAAGCACUUGGGCCAUCCUCCACUGCACUCCCGGGCCACAGCAGAGAGCUGGCCUGGAAGAGGGGCAACCGGGACAGAAUCCAACUGGGACUAGAACCCGGGGUGCCGGCGCCGCAAGGCGGAGGAUUAGCCUAGUGAGCCGCAGUGCUGGCCCCCAUUCUUAAUUUUUACAGUGAUCUAUUUUCAGUUUACUUAGUGAUCUUAUAGUUAGCUCUACUCUAAGUAGAGGGGUUCAGCAAAUAGUGUGAAGAGAAAGGAAAAAAAAGUGAGGCAAAACAAAACCAAAGAUUGUUCCUCAUGGAAGAGCCAAGGGCUAUAAACAAUCAUCCAUUCUCCAAAUGACUAUUUCACUCGAGUAUAUUAC